This 572-nucleotide long non-coding RNA is filed under the name Cavia porcellus (domestic guinea pig). RNAcentral's name for it is "lncRNA (ENSCPOG00000036598.1)". Lineage: Eukaryota; Metazoa; Chordata; Mammalia; Rodentia; Caviidae. The record is from RNAcentral.
AAACAAAGGCAAUGACUUUUACACCCGUUUCCAGCUUCUGAACUUCAUGACUGUCCAAAGUUAUCGGUCCUCAAGGCUGAGUUUGGGCUGUUGUCUUCCUCAGGGAGAACGUCAGCCCUCGUCUUCAUCUUGGACAUCGUCUCCUGGCUUCCAGCGCAACCUCCCAGCCUCCGGCACAGACUUCCUAGUUUCCGCUGGCCCUUGGGCCUUGUGGUACAGAUCCUUGAGAGAGAUUUUUGCAGGACCCUGCCGUGAGCUCUGAGCCCUUGACUGAAUUCUGUGCAUUUCCGGCGAGGAGAAAGAUGUCAGCACAGUUCUCCAUCUGACUCUAUUCACAGGCAAAAGGGAAGUACAGUCAAUUGCAAAAUGUCCCACAAGAAUUCCUCUCAUUGCUCUGCAUAUGUAUUUGCAGUGUGACUUUCCCCCUCUUCCCAUCAAGGUUAAAUCCACUGCCUGAAAAAAAAUUACCACUACCACUUGACUCAUAAUUUAGGUAUGAAUAUCAUUCACAUUGGCAGAAACAUUCAGAUAAUUAUUUUUAAUUUCAUUAUUAAUGACCUCCAAAAGCUUUC